AUGUCUGAUGACGAUGGGAUCCCGGAGUGUGUGUACUGCUACAAUGACCAAGGUGUGUGCGACAGGUUUCCUCACCUGCAAAACGAUAGGUUUUUCACCUUGAAGCUGGAAUACAUCCAGUGCCAUGCUAGACCAUAUGUAUUGGAGAAGCUUGGUUUUGGUUUAGAUGACUUUGAGAAUGUGGAGACGAGGAGGGCUCACUUAAGAACUAAACAUGGUUAUGAGUUUCUGGUUAAGUUCUACAAUGCGGUCGAUCGCUCCCAUUUUGGUUGCUCUAAUUGGGAAGCUCUCUGCAAGUCAUAUGGAUUUGAGGAGGGAAUGCAUAUAAGAUUUGAUAUUCGUCCCGAAGAUUAUGAUGAUGAUGAUAAUAUCGACAUCUGUGUGGAUGUGGAUAUGCCUCCAGUUUUGCCUAGAUCUUAUUUCUUAUCUUCAAGAAAUACUCGGAAGGUAGUAGACAACAUAAACUACAACUAUGACUCCAAGCUUAAUUGUGAGGAGAAAGGUUAUCUUGUCUCAUUCAUAGAAGAUGUUGAGGCCUUCAAAAAUAGUCACUCUAUCAGCCCAAAUUAUACUAGAUACAUGCCACUAGUCCAUACAUUGCUUGAUGAUAACUUCAUUGCCAAAAACUUGAGGCUCCUGAAGCAGGUUGUGCCUGAUAUGCUAUUUACCAAAGGUGAUAUGCAUAUGGUUAGCUUACGACCAACUCCUUCGGAGGCUUACCAUACUGCAUACUCGAUUUCUUCAAAUGAUGGAAGGCUCAAAAUCAAAGAAUGGAGCAAAGUGAUGAAUGUGCACACGCAAAUAAUUGGAGACAAAAUGAAUGUGCGCAAGCCACAAGUUGGAGAUAGGUUUAUGUCCAUUCUCCAUUAUGGUGAAGGACCGGUUUAUCUGUUUUAUGGUAUUUUAGCUAGGAGAGAGGAGUAG
This 924-nucleotide ribosomal RNA is filed under the name Triticum aestivum (bread wheat). Its description in RNAcentral is "partial small subunit ribosomal RNA". Lineage: Eukaryota; Viridiplantae; Streptophyta; Magnoliopsida; Poales; Poaceae. The record is from RNAcentral.